This 250-nucleotide ribosomal RNA is filed under the name uncultured bacterium. RNAcentral's name for it is "partial 16S ribosomal RNA". It matches the Rfam family "Bacterial small subunit ribosomal RNA", at positions 524 to 773 of the family's 1533-position model. The record is from RNAcentral.
UACGGAGGGUGCAAGCGUUAAUCGGAAUUACUGGGCGUAAAGCGUGCGUAGGCGGUGAUUUAAGUCAGAUGUGAAAGCCCCGGGCUUAACCUGGGAACUGCAUUUGAUACUGGGUUACUAGAGUUUGAUAGAGGAGAGUGGAAUUUCCGGUGUAGCGGUGAAAUGCGUAGAUAUCGGAAGGAACACCAGUGGCGAAGGCGGCUCUCUGGAUCAAAACUGACGCUGAGGUACGAAAGCGUGGGUAGCAAAC